Molecule: ribosomal RNA, 253 nt
Filed under: uncultured bacterium
Lineage: Bacteria
Description: partial 16S ribosomal RNA
Rfam family: Bacterial small subunit ribosomal RNA
Source: RNAcentral
UACAGAGGUCUCAAGCGUUGUUCGGAUUCAUUGGGCGUAAAGGGUGCGUAGGCGGCUCGGUAAGUCGGGUGUGAAAUCUCGGGGCUUAACUCCGAAACUGCAUUCGAUACUGCCGUGCUUGAGGACUGGAGAGGAGACUGGAAUUUACGGUGUAGCGGUGAAAUGCGUAGAUAUUCGCAAGAACACCUGUGGCGAAGGCGGCUCACUGGCCCGAUACUGACGCUGAGGUGCGAAAGCGUGGGGAGCAAACAGG